Molecule: transfer RNA, 72 nt
Filed under: Camelus bactrianus (Bactrian camel)
Lineage: Eukaryota; Metazoa; Chordata; Mammalia; Artiodactyla; Camelidae
Also listed under: 2 other names
Rfam family: tRNA
About the family: Transfer RNA (tRNA) molecules are approximately 80 nucleotides in length. Their secondary structure includes four short double-helical elements and three loops (D, anti-codon, and T loops).
Source: Rfam by way of RNAcentral
GGCUGUACAGCUCAGUGGUAGAGCACGUGCUUAGCAUGCAUGAGGUCCAGGGUUCAUUUCCCAGUACCUCCU